RNAcentral lists this ribosomal RNA (483 nucleotides) under uncultured bacterium. RNAcentral describes it as "partial 16S ribosomal RNA". It matches the Rfam family "Bacterial small subunit ribosomal RNA", at positions 27 to 507 of the family's 1533-position model. The record is from RNAcentral.
GGACGAACGCUGGCGGCGUGCUUAACACAUGCAAGUCGAACGAUGAAGAAGAGAAACGCGAACUUCGGUUCAAAUUUCACUUCGGAUUAGUGGCAGACGGGUGAGUAACGCGUGAGCAACCUACCUCUUACAAAGGGAUAGCCUCGGGAAACCGUGAUUAAUACCAUAUGACACAUUCAUAAGGCAUCUUAAGAAUGUUAAAGCUACGGCGGUAAGAGAUGGGCUCGCGUCCCAUUAGCUAGUUGGUGAGGUAACGGCCCACCAAGGCGACGAUGGGUAACCGGCCUGAGAGGGGGAACGGUCACAUUGGAACUGAGACACGGUCCAAACUCCUACGGGAGGCAGCAGUGGGGAAUAUUGCACAAUGGAGGGAACUCUGAUGCAGCGACGCCGCGUGAGCGAUGAAGGAAUUCGUUUCGUAAAGCUCUGCUCUAUGGGAAGAAAAGGACUGUACCAUAGGAGAAAGCCCCGGCUAAAUACGUG